GCAACGCGCGGAAGCAAAGCGCGGAAGCAAAGGGCCCAAGUAAAGCCUUUUUCUCGUGCAACUUUUCUGCACCACCCUUUCUCGAAAAACCAAUCAGCACUGUCCAAUCAGGGCUCCACCCUGUGGCUCUGUCAGACAUGGCAGAGUCACACCAAUAUAACAAUCUUUUUUUUCCAUCAACAGAACUAUAUGAUUGGUUUAGUACAAAUUCAAAAGUGUUAAAUGUUUCAGUGUUAGUAGAUUUUUUUGCAAAAGCAGUUAAUUUUACUCUAAUCGAGUCGCAUUAUGUAACUCUGGGCUGUAUAUUAUUAGUAGUUAAAAUCGAGUGUUAAAACAAAGUGUUUCCGUAUCAAAUCUAGAAUUGUUAAAAUGAAAUCAAUAAAUCUUGACUUCUUAACUCUGAACUCCAGAAUCUCAGGUUCCCACCAAGCCAAGCAACAGAAUCCAAGUCAUUUCACAACAAUUUGCUUUGCACAUGUCUGAGUUGUUCACCACGCUUGAUAUUAAGAGCACUUUGGUUGAGGAUGAAUCUCCAGUCGUCAGCGUCAGUCCCUCUCGCACCCUCACCCUCCAUGGCGUCUUCCAAGAUUCUCCAAAAAUGGUUAAGUGUUAAUAUCUCUGAAACUCCACAUCUCUGUAAUUGAGGCUUGUUGUUAUAGUUAUAGUAAAAAUGCAUUCCUUUGUUCCAUUUUUCAUUCUUAUGUUUUUUGUUUGUUAUGAUCCAGAAACCAACACUGGCUGUAUUACUUGUCCAGUGCAGUCAGUACCUAUGAGCAGUUGGUGUUUUUGUCCCCGGCCAAGCUUCCAUUUCAAUUUCAUACAUGUUGUAUUGAAGAAAAAUGUAUUUAGCAUACUGUUUUUUGUAUUGCCCAUAUCAGGCCUUUUGAUAAGCAAUAUGUGAAUGAAAGUGACAUGUGAAACAUGAACGUGUACAUUAUUCCACGUUGUUACAUGUUUUGAAAUAAAUGCAUCUCAGAAAAUCA
This is a long non-coding RNA of Xiphophorus hellerii (green swordtail), 983 nucleotides long. RefSeq lists it as uncharacterized. NCBI's taxonomy places the organism in Eukaryota, Metazoa, Chordata, Actinopteri, Cyprinodontiformes, Poeciliidae. The record is from RefSeq and is a predicted model, not a curated record. The transcript has 2 exons.